CGCUGUCAGUCACUCUCAUUGGUUUCUUAGCUGUUAAUUGUGAACAGUGUGUACAAAACAUGGAUACGCAAUUGCGCUAUUUGCUUAUAAAUUACUCUUGUGUCGCAUGUCAUGAUGAUGUGGGAAUAGCUAGCCUUUUCAUCCACCCUAACAGUUACUGAGCCUACUUUAUACAAGUUGAUAGUCAGAUACGGAAUGAGAUGAAAAGUGUCCGCAUAUCUUUCAA
RNAcentral lists this long non-coding RNA (226 nucleotides) under Mytilus galloprovincialis (Mediterranean mussel). The record is from RNAcentral. Lineage: Eukaryota; Metazoa; Mollusca; Bivalvia; Mytilida; Mytilidae.